UGAGGGCUAUCUGGCUACAACAUCUGUUAGCUCAUUGAUCAUCAGGGUUGAUAUGGCUGAUCUGGCUGGUCAGGCAAAUGUACUCUUCCUACA
Molecule: small RNA, 93 nt
Filed under: Jaculus jaculus (lesser Egyptian jerboa)
Lineage: Eukaryota; Metazoa; Chordata; Mammalia; Rodentia; Dipodidae
Description: 7SK RNA (ENSJJAG00000006890.1)
Rfam family: 7SK RNA
About the family: 7SK was discovered as an abundant small nuclear RNA in the mid-70s but a possible function has only recently been suggested. Two independent studies have found that 7SK RNA binds the CDK9/cyclin T complex (known as elongation factor P-TEFb).
Source: RNAcentral